RNAcentral lists this ribosomal RNA (372 nucleotides) under uncultured organism. Its description in RNAcentral is "bacterial SSU rRNA". It matches the Rfam family "Bacterial small subunit ribosomal RNA", at positions 526 to 896 of the family's 1533-position model. The record is from RNAcentral.
CGUAGGGUGCUAGCGUUGUUCGGAAUCAUUGGGCGUAAAGCGCGUGUAGGUGGCUGUGUAAGUCGAAUGUGAAAUCCCUGGGCUCAACCGAGGAAGUGCAUUCGAAACUACAUAGCUCGAGGACGGUAGAGGAAGGUGGAAUUCCAAAAGUAGAGGUGAAAUUCGUAGAUAUUUGGAGGAAUACCGGCGGCGAAGGCGGCCUUCUGGGCCGUUCCUGACACUGAGACGCGAAAGCGUGGGUAGCAAACAGGAUUAGAUACCCUGGUAGUCCACGCUGUAAACGAUGAGUACUAGGUGUUGCGGGAAUUGACCCCUGCAGUGCCGUAGCUAACGCAUUAAGUACUCCGCCUGGGAAGUACGGUCGCAAGAUUA